RNAcentral lists this small RNA (213 nucleotides) under Williamsia sterculiae. RNAcentral describes it as "Actinobacteria sRNA Ms_IGR-5". It matches the Rfam family "Actinobacteria sRNA Ms_IGR-5". The record is from Rfam by way of RNAcentral. Lineage: Bacteria; Bacillati; Actinomycetota; Actinomycetes; Mycobacteriales; Nocardiaceae.
ACACGAGGAAGGAGGUGGUCUGGAAUUGCAUGACAUACGGACACGUGAGGUGACCAUCCGCUAGACGCACGACCGUGCUGCGAUUCGUUUCUGCGCCGGACGCGCUCUGGCGAAUCCCAGGUGGUCACCCGGCCCCCGCGCCCUGGUCUGUCCAGACCAGAACGAGCCCACGAGCUCGAGCCCGACCAUCGGGUGGCGCGGGGGUCGUUCCCG